Molecule: transfer RNA, 65 nt
Filed under: Scyra compressipes
Lineage: Eukaryota; Metazoa; Arthropoda; Malacostraca; Decapoda; Pisidae
Description: tRNA-Lys
Source: RNAcentral
CAUCUGAUGGCUGAAAUAAAGUGCUGGUCUUUUAAACCUGUUAUAGUAAAUGCUUACUUCCGAUG